This 97-nucleotide ribosomal RNA is filed under the name uncultured bacterium. RNAcentral describes it as "partial 16S ribosomal RNA". The record is from RNAcentral.
CCCGUCACGCCAUGGAAGCCGAUAGCACCCGAAGUCACCGGCUCAACCCCGCGCAAGCGGGAGAGAGGUGCCGAAGGUGAGAUUGGUGACUGGGGCG